RNAcentral lists this microRNA precursor (78 nucleotides) under Schistosoma margrebowiei. RNAcentral describes it as "mir-3492 microRNA precursor family". It matches the Rfam family "mir-3492 microRNA precursor family". The record is from Rfam by way of RNAcentral. Lineage: Eukaryota; Metazoa; Platyhelminthes; Trematoda; Strigeidida; Schistosomatidae.
AGUCUUGUAUAUUUGUGCUGAGAUUUCGUCACACACCAGACCACAAAGGCUGAUGUGACUCCCAAGAUAAUUGGAGUG